This 503-nucleotide ribosomal RNA is filed under the name uncultured bacterium. RNAcentral's name for it is "bacterial SSU rRNA". It matches the Rfam family "Bacterial small subunit ribosomal RNA", at positions 29 to 526 of the family's 1533-position model. The record is from RNAcentral.
AGUGAACGCUGGCGGCAGGCCUAACACAUGCAAGUCGAGCGGCAGCGGGUCCUUCGGGAUGCCGGCGAGCGGCGGACGGGUGAGGAAUGCAUCGGAAUCUGCCUCUAUGUGGGGGAUAACGUAGGGAAACUUACGCUAAUACCGCAUACGACCUACGGGUGAAAGCCGGGGACCUUCGGGCCUGGCGCAGAGAGAUGAGCCGAUGCCGGAUUAGCUAGUUGGCGGGGUAAAGGCCCACCAAGGCGACGAUCCGUAGCUGGUCUGAGAGGAUGAUCAGCCACACUGGAACUGAGACACGGUCCAGACUCCUACGGGAGGCAGCAGUGGGGAAUAUUGGACAAUGGGCGCAAGCCUGAUCCAGCCAUGCCGCGUGAGUGAAGAAGGCCUUCGGGUUGUAAAGCUCUUUUGUUGGGGAAGAAAAGCUUCCGGUUAAUACCCGGGAGUCCUGACGGUACCCAAAGAAUAAGCACCGGCUAACUUCGUGCCAGCAGCCGCCGUAAAAC